UAUCCGACAUGAUCUUCUCAGAAUGGUAGCUCAGAAGAGAAGAAUCGGAACCAUGUUCAGCAAAUUAAAAGUCAAGAUACUUUGCACCCACAAACAGCAUCAGAAGUAAAAUAGAGUGCUUAAAGAAGACAGAGUUGACAAGAUAAUGACAACAUGAUGGCUGUCAAGUUGCACAAGAACGCAAUCAUCGUGUUAUAGAAGAAUUACCUGUACCAAGGAAGCUGAGCCAACUGAUUAUAUUAUGAAAUAAACCG
Molecule: non-coding RNA, 254 nt
Organism: Chiloscyllium plagiosum (whitespotted bambooshark)
Lineage: Eukaryota; Metazoa; Chordata; Chondrichthyes; Orectolobiformes; Hemiscylliidae
Source: RefSeq, a predicted model, not a curated record